This 29-nucleotide non-coding RNA is filed under the name Rattus norvegicus (Norway rat). The record is from RNAcentral. Lineage: Eukaryota; Metazoa; Chordata; Mammalia; Rodentia; Muridae.
UNGUAAGCAGGAUAUAGCACUGAGGAUUC